Molecule: unclassified non-coding RNA, 201 nt
Filed under: plant metagenome
Description: partial contains small subunit ribosomal RNA, internal transcribed spacer 1, and 5.8S ribosomal RNA
Source: RNAcentral
UCUCCAUUGGUGAACCAGCGGAGGGAUCAUUAUCGAGUUUAUAACUCCCAAACCCUAUGUGAACUUACCACUUGUUGCUUCGGCGCGCGCUUCGGCGCCGCCGAGGACACUUAAACUCUUUGUUUUUAUAAGCAUUUCUGAGUGGCCGAAAGGCAAAAUACAAAUGAAUCAAAACUUUCAACAACGGAUCUCUUGGUUCUG